GACGAACGCUGGCGGCAUGCCUAAUACAUGCAAGUCGAACGAACCAUCCUGAAGAUUGAAGCUUGCUUCAUGAUUCAGAUCUUGGUGAGUGGCGGACGGGUGAGUAACACGUGGGUAACCUGCCCAAAAGUGGGGGAUAACAUUUGGAAACAAGUGCUAAUACCGCAUAACAACUACUUUCACAUGAUCGUAGCUUGAAAGAUGGCUCUGCUAUCGCUUUUGGAUGGACCCGCGGCGUAUUAGCUAGUUGGUGAGGUAAUAGCUCACCAAGGCAAUGAUACGUAGCCGACCUGAGAGGGUAAUCGGCCACAUUGGGACUGAGACACGGCCCAAACUCCUACGGGAGGCAGCAGUAGGGAAUCUUCCACAAUGGGCGAAAGCCUGAUGGAGCAAUGCCGCGUGAGUGAAGAAGGUUUUCGGAUCGUAAAACUCUGUUGUUGAAGAAGAACAUGCGUGAGAGUAACUGUUCACGUACUGACGGUAUUCAACC
Molecule: ribosomal RNA, 490 nt
Filed under: uncultured bacterium
Lineage: Bacteria
Description: bacterial SSU rRNA
Rfam family: Bacterial small subunit ribosomal RNA
Source: RNAcentral